Astatotilapia calliptera (eastern happy) is the source of this 598-nucleotide long non-coding RNA. NCBI's taxonomy places the organism in Eukaryota, Metazoa, Chordata, Actinopteri, Cichliformes, Cichlidae. The record is from Ensembl.
GCAUGUUUAACAAGGAUCUCUCAAUGACACCCUGGCACAAAUACACUCAGAUGCAUCUGCAGCAAGCUGAGAUAAGGAGGGCUGGGUUUCCUUCUUCCUCUGAGCUCCAGGAGGGAAAUUAUAGCCUCUAAAGACACGUUGGGUCACAGACCUGCCUCGACUGCUGUCCACAAUGAUCCUCUACCUGCUCUUGCCUGCUUUUGUCCUCGGUACUGUGACAUCACAAUCAGCCAACAGCACAGCGGGACAGCUCGAUGAAGUUGUGAGGAACCAAACAUUCAACAGUACACUGAAACCAAAGAAUGUGACAUCCACAUUUUACGAAGAGAAGAAGGCGGUCGAGGAAAAACUGCAAAGUAACCAAGGUUCUGUUAUCGCAGAAGGUGAAGAGAGUUUCCAGGAUGAGGAAAAUAAAAUUACUGGGGAAAACUGUGAUUGGAAGUCACUGCAAUUCUUCAGUUCCACCUACUGUGGUGAAAAUUUUCACCAGGACAUGUGGAAUAUCGGCAGAGAUAACUGGUGUGUCCAGGAACGUUUCAUCGGGUAACUGAAUAAAUAUAUCCACAAACCUCCAUGUUUAACACACUGAAUAAUACUC